Molecule: transfer RNA, 71 nt
Filed under: bacterium
Lineage: Bacteria
Description: tRNA-Ala
Rfam family: tRNA
About the family: Transfer RNA (tRNA) molecules are approximately 80 nucleotides in length.
Source: RNAcentral
GGGCCCGUAGUACAGUGGUAACACACCGCAUUCGCAUUGCGGAGACGCGAGUUCGAUUCUCGCCGGGUCCA